UGGAAAUCUUUCCCAUACCAGGCACACAAGGAAAUCAUCAAGAAGAGACAAAAAAAGAUAAGCUGAGGAAGAAACAAGGCUUGCCGGUUUGAAAUGAAAGCUGCCCCUGUUGCGUGGCUCGAAGUCCUUUGUUCAGGAAAAAGCGUAAGAAAAAAAGAGUCAACAAUAUAGGAUAAACUGGACUGUGAUCUGCACUGUCAUCUCUGGAGAGCACUUCGCAUAGAGGAAAUGAUCCAAAAGAUGUCAAAUAAUCUGAUUUUUUUCACAGCCCUCGGUGAUCUUUAGAUAAGACCUCAAUGUUAUGCAAACUGCUUUCCCUGAUGUCAUAAGGAUUUUAAGUAGUAAGACUCCAGAUAGAAAUCCCUUUGAAAUUACCAUCAAACCUGUCACUUACUUCUGGGAAAAAAUCUGAAACCUGAAAUGACGAUGGUAUAUGAAAAAAAAAAUAAAAAGGAGGGUUACAUA
Molecule: long non-coding RNA, 465 nt
Organism: Grus americana (Whooping crane)
Lineage: Eukaryota; Metazoa; Chordata; Aves; Gruiformes; Gruidae
Exons: 3
Source: RefSeq, a predicted model, not a curated record